CCUACGGGAGGCAGCAGUGGGGAAUUUUGGACAAUGGGCGAAAGCCUGAUCCAGCAAUGCCGCGUGUGGGAAGAAGGCCUUCGGGUUGUAAACCACUUUUGUACGGAACGAAACGGUUCGCUUUAAUACAGUGGGCUAAUGACGGUACCGUAAGAAUAAGCACCGGCUAACUACGUGCCAGCAGCCGCGGUAAUACGUAGGGUGCGAGCGUUAAUCGGAAUUACUGGGCGUAAAGCGUGCGCAGGCGGUCAUAUAAGACAGUUGUGAAAUCCCCGGGCUCAACCUGGGAAUUGCAUCUGUGACUGUAUAGCUAGAGUACGGUAGAGGGGGAUGGAAUUCCGCGUGUAGCAGUGAAAUGCGUAGAUAUGCGGAGGAACACCGAUGGCGAAGGCAAUCCCCUGGACCUGUACUGACGCUCAUGCACGAAAGCGUGGGGAGCAAACAGGAUUAGAUACCCUGGUAGUCCACGCCCUAAACGAUGUCAACUGGUUGUUGGGUGCAUUAGUACUCAGUAACGAAGCUAACGCGUGAAGUUGACCGCCUGGGGAGUACGGCCGCAGGUUGAAACUCAAGAUUGACGG
RNAcentral lists this ribosomal RNA (581 nucleotides) under uncultured bacterium. Its description in RNAcentral is "bacterial SSU rRNA". It matches the Rfam family "Bacterial small subunit ribosomal RNA", at positions 338 to 916 of the family's 1533-position model. The record is from RNAcentral.